UAUAAUCAUGGGCCAUUGCUUGACCUUCACAGAGAGUCUGGUUAGUAUCAAAAGACAUUGUCUGAUACCCAGAGUGAGUUUGUUUAGAUUUGUGGGCCAUUGUUUGACCCCUAUAGAGACUCUGAUUAUUGUCAAAAGGCAUUGUCUGACCCCCAGAGACAGUAUGGUUAGUAUCAUGUGGCAUUGGUUGACCCCUAUAGAGGGUCUGGUUAGUAUCAAACGGCAAUGGCUGACCCCCAUAGAGAGUCUGGUUUCCAUUGGGAACCGUCAUUUGAUUAUUAUAGUAGGCCUGAUUAGCACUGAGGAUUUUCACCUUAUCUCUGUAUACAUUCUGGUCAUUGUACGUUUCCACCUGAUUUCUAUAGACUGUCUGGUCACCAAUAGCAGUUGUCACCUGAUUUCUAUUGACUUUCUGCUCACUAUUGAAGGUCAUCAUCUGGUGCCCAUGGUAAGUCUGAUCGGCAUUGGAAGUUACCACCUGACCCCAAUCGGAAGCUUGGUUAUCCUCAGAAAUGACUGAACAGUCUUCAAAUGAGGAUUGGUAACCACUGAAGCUCACCACAGGACCCUCUGUAAGAGUUGCUAGCUGAUUAUCAUAAAUGGUGUUUAUCUGGCUGUCUUCAAUAGGGCUUGUCACCUUGGUUCCAGUGGCUGCUGUCUUCUGGUAUGUAGUGAGUAAGGACUUGGAGCUGUCCUGGCCAUGGGUCAGCUGGGUGCUUGCUGUGGAGAGCAUGAUGUCAACAGGCACCAUUUCUUGGCUCAUAGGAACAGCCUUAUGUGGCUGUGCAGGGGGUUUACCAAGGGCUGUUGCAGGGUGCAUUGUUGUGACUGUGUGAGGGACAGAAGAAGAUUCAGAGGUCAUCACAGUGGAACUGCAGGAAGUCAUGACUCUGGGCUGACUUGUGCUGGCUGUCCUGUACAGGGGCUCUGAGAGACUGGGAUGAAGACCUGAAGCUAAGCUGGAGCUCUGCCCUGGUCCUUCUGUGGCAGGAAGACUUGGAGAAACUCAAUAGCCCCAGAAGUUUGGAGGAUGGAGAAGAUAAAGAGACAGGCAGGGCUGGCACCUACGGUUAACUUCAGAGCUCAGAUACAAGAGAUGGGGAACCCUGAACAUGAGUCCAGUCUGGUCAGCACAGUGAGAUCCAGAACACAGAGGACCACAGAGAAACCCGGUCUCCAACCAACCAACCAACCAACCAAUCAACCAACCAACCAACCAACCAAUCAACCAACCAACCAACCAACUAAUCAACCAACCAAGUAAAUAGCCAGGGUGUCUCUGUAGCCCUGGCUAUCCUGGAAGUCCCUCUGUUGACCACUCCACGCUCCAAUUCAGGGAUCGGCUUUGUUUGCCUCUGCCUCCCUCGUGCUGGGAUUAAAGGUUUCGUCACCACUGCCAACUGAAAUUGUGUGAAUAAGAUAAAGUUUUGUGAGAAGCCCUGUGGGUGGGGCAGCAGGUCCUGUGGGUGGGGGCAGGUUGCAUGAUGGGAUUAACUUAAACCUAGUGGUGGUGGCUCCGACUUCUAACCCCACCCACAUGAGGCAGAUGCUGGUGGUCUGUGGAUUUGAGCCACCCUGGCCUAAAGACUAAAUUCCAGAUGGCCUGGGAGUCAUCUCGAUGCCUGCCUCGAGAAAAACAACAAACACAAAAAUGAAACAAACACACACACAGCUUAACCAACCAAACACCAGAGCAUAACUAUUCCAAACCAAUAGACCUCAAGAGCCAUCUUCUGUGGCUAAUGAAAGACUCCAGUUCAAGCGGACCCAACUCUCUCUUUUGUCCCUCAGAGACACAUACACUCAUUUUCAUCAACUAGGAAACAUGAUAUUUUAAUUAUACAAUAUAUAACAAAUAUAAUACUUAAUAUUCAUAUACAAUAUUAUAUAUACUCUGUAUUCUAUUAUACAUAAUAUAUUUUAAAAUGAAUAUAUAUUAAAAACAAAAAAUAAAUAUUUUAAAAUAGAGACCCAGAAGAGCAUCUUAAACUUCCUCUCUCAUGACUCCAACUCACAUUCCCAGACAGUCAGGCUGGACCCACCCUAGGGUGACAACUCUAAUUUGUACAAAGUGGACCUGCCAGAUUUGGAUGAGUAUCUGAGAAAAUGGAAGCAGGGAAGGAAUUCUGGUGCACACAACAGCACAGGCUCUGGUCUGUAACCUUCAGGCCCUCAGGAUGCACAUGGUUCUGACCUCCUGUACCUGAGGGACCAUUAACACAAGUACUUUCCUAGGCCAGACCUGGUGGCCCACAGCUUUAAUCUCAGUCCGUGGGAGACAGUGGAAGAUGUGUCUCUGUGUCUGAGGCUAUCCUGGUUUACAUAGCGAAUUGCUAUAGAGGAGAAUUCUAUCCCCAAAAUGACUAUUUGAAUUUGUAUUUAUUUUUGAGACUGUGUGUCUACAGAGCCCCGGUUGACAUGAAAUUUACGCGGUGGAUCAGGCUGGCCUUGAUCCAUCUGCCUCUGACUCCUCUCCGUACUUCAGAAAUUAACGACAUUGGCCACCGUGCCUGGCUUCAUUUUAUUAUUUUAAAAAUUAUUAUUUCAAAACUCCGUGUGCAGACCAGGCCAGCAUGAAAAUCAUAUCUUCCUGCUUCUGUCUCAAGUGCUGGGACUUGAGUUGUGGUCACCACACUCGCAGCCUGGUCUCUUUCUGGAUCAUGAGUCCUGGCAUUGUGGGCACAUUUGAGGCCUGCUGAAGGGCUGAGCUGGCACUGCAUCUUGCAAAGACAGUUGUGAUGAUUACAAUUGUUUUGAUUACAAUUCCACAGCACAGGCUCCAACACAGGCUGCGUUUUUCUCGUGCAUAACACCCCCCUGGCUCUCAGCAUACCUGCCCCUGACCUCUGCAGAGACUUCUCUCUGCCUCACUACUGGCAAUUCUGACCUCCCCUUCUUUAGAAGUUCCAGCCCAGGUUGAUCACUUUGCCAAUGAGAAUGGAGACUUACCGAAGCCGAUCCAGAGAGUGGUCUCCGAUGGUAACCACGAGCUCAAGUGAUCUAGGUGGAUGGGAGAAACCCCUUCAGAAGGCUUUGACUUUUAUGGGGUCUUGCGUGGACCACCCCCUUUGUGGGAGGAGCCUAGUGAAGUCCGUGUCUACCUAUCAACCGGUCGGGGCCUUGGGAUUUUUGAAUUUGCUAGCAAGAAGCCUUGGGGCAGUGGUUUUCAACAGGUUUAUGCUAACGCUUUUGCAGGGCUGAACCGCCCUUUCACAAGGAUCGCAUAUUUGAUAUCCUACAUAUUAGCUGCAUUACAAUUCAUAUCAGUAGGAGAAAUUAUACUCAUGAGCCGAAAUAAUCUUAUGGCUGCUGGUCACCACCGAAGAACCGUAUUAAAGUGUUGCAGCCUGACGAAGGCUAACAGCCAUGGUGUCUCUUCCCGGAUUGCACUGCAUACAGCUCAGCGUAUUGCCCGUUCCAUCCCUCCUUGUGGGUUUUAAAGCAGUCAUCCUGUGACGGGAAAGUUGAGAACGAAGGUCCUAAAGAACUGCCUAUGAGUCAAGCACGGUGGUGCAGGCCUUUAAUUAGAGCUCUCCAGAGGCAGAGAGGCAGGGGGAUCUCUGUAAGUUCAAGUCCAGCCUGAUCUGCAAGACGAGUCCAGAGCAGCCAGGGAUACACAGAAAAACUCGGCUGGAAAAACAAAAACCAAACCCAAGCAAAAAUAACCUAUUGGUUGUAGAUUUGAACCCUGUAACUUACUUCUCAUGGGUUGAGGGUUUAGGUGAACCUAUGACCCGAAUUUUUAGUGCGCUUAAAGAAGAUUUCAUCUCGUGAAUUGUUGGGGUAAUCAAAACAGUUUCUCGUCAGAAACACUGAGAAUCCGGCCAUUUCCCCUCAAUAAUAACGCAGGUUCUCGGUUGUUUGUUAAUUGAUUCGUUUUUGCUUUUCUUUGUUUCUUAGGUUGGUUGGUUGGCUGGUUUUUCUACACAGGAUUUCUUUCUGUAGCCCCUGGCUGGCCUGGAGUUCGCUCUGUAGAAGUGGCUGGUGUUGAACUCAAGAGAUCCCCCUGCCUCUGCUAUUCCCAUGCCAGCACCAGCAUCCAAUGGAACCCUUCUGUUCUACUGGGUUCUUGUGUGGUUCAAACCCUCUCUUUCCACAUCUAUCUGGUUUGUUCUAGCCAGAAUUGAGUGGGUACAUAGUAGUCUCCCACUCCUGUAACAGACUUUUCUGUUUUCCCUUCAAUUCUGCCAGAAUUUCCUCCAAUAUUUUUCAUAUAUUUUGUAGUUCAUUAGAUGCAUGACUGUUUAGAACUGUUUUCGUUUCUAUCGAGAGCCCUUCAUAUAAUCUUUGGGAAUCAUGGGGUGGUGGCUCAUGUGGUUAAAAGUGCUGUCUGUUUGUCACAGGAACCCAGAUUGGAUUCUCAGCCCCCUUAAGGUGGUUCAUGCCUUUGUAACUGCAAUUCCAGAUUAUCCAACACACUCUGUCUGUACUCUGGCAUGUACAGACAAACUGGCAAACACCCAUAAACAUAAACUAAAAACCUAAUAAAAAAUAAAAACCGUACAGCUGAUUUCUGAUUUUAUAUUUGCGAACAUAGUUUAUUUACAUCUUAAACUGUUUAACUGUCAAGAAGGAACAUAAUUCUAUCAUUGGUCUAUCAUUGGUUACAUCUUCUGUGGGCCUAUGGCUUCUCUUCCCAUGCUCCUAUUUCCUUUUGUGCUUUGCUGUCUUUUUGUGGUCAAAGAUUUUAAUCCCAUAUAUGAACAUGUGGCCUACAGACACACACACCCCUACACCACACACCACAGGACAAACCACGCAUACACACACACACACACACACACACACACACACACACACACACACACACUAUACUCUCUUUGCGUACUUGAUAAACGUGUUCCUGGGGAGUUACACUUGACAUCCUAGAUUUGUAACAUCUACUUUGAAUUUAAGGCAUCCUAACUUCACUAACAGAGAAUCAGCUUUCCUAGUGCCCCGUCCCCAUCAGGUUUUACUUUUAUAUGCUACAAAAUUACACGUUUAUGGGUAGUGUGUUCACAAUCAUGGUUUCUCAUUUUUAAUGGACGACUGGACUAAUUGUAUGGCCUCUGGGUGCUGCUCAGCCUUCUCCCUCUCUUCCUGGGCGCUGAGGAUCAAACACAGCCUUCCAUUCCACGGAACUCCAUACCCUGCAUUGCAGACCUGAGAAUGGGGUUACUUGACCGACUUUACUCCUUUGGAGAGGACCAAGUUACCGCCUGUUCCUUUGUGAUUGCCCUCAUUGAAUCUGCCCCAGUGGCAACAUUGGAUCUCGGAUCCUCUUUGCCCGGGGGGGACUGCUUUAUCCAAUCUUUGCUCAAUUCUGCACAUCCACUUUCGUCUUUGUCCUUUCUUAUUCGAUUGUGAUGUAUGAUGGUCUACGUGUUACCCAGGACAGCCAGGGUUACACAGAGAAAUCCUGUCGCAAAAAUCCCAAAACCAAAAGCUGAAAAACAAAUAAACAAACCAAAAAAAAUCAUCGUUUACGAAAAAAGGGAGGCAUGGAAGGCAUGUAAACCAUGCAGAAGGUCCUGUAAAGCCAUGAGAGGGAGGGCGGAGAGACACCUCUGUCAGCAUAGCGGCCAUGUCAGCACAUCUGCACUUGAAGUCAGUCCUUGCCUGCAGGCAUUUGCUCAAAGCUGGAGCCAUGUGUAGCCUGGCUCAGAACUAGGCCAGAGCACUGGCAGCAUGGAGAAUCCAGGUCUUGGUGCCCAGCUCGGGAACCCACUGAGCAGACGCUGUGGGGAAUCAGAAGAAGCCUGACAUGCGCAGAUGAGCUCAUCUCGAGUUCAGAUAAACACUGCAGACAGCUGGAAGCUCAAGCAGGAAGCUGGGUGUGGAGGGGUCUGCCUGCCUGGAAGAGCUGCCCUGAGCAGUCUAGAGAGGCUAGGGAACGUUUGAGCAGGGAUCUCAGCCAGAGGCAGGGUGCAGAGGUGGAGCAGGCUAAGAGCCUCCUGAAAUGUGACAUAUAAAAGCAUUACACAGAGCAGAAGGGACGUGAGAGACAGAGAAGCUGCACAUGCCCAGGGCACUGGGUUGUCAACCUUUCCAAGGCUGCAAUCCUUAGCACUGAUCCAAAUGACCAUUGGGUACUUUCUGUCCUUGUCCCCCACUGAGUCAUCAUGGCCAGCAGAGGAGAUCUGUGCCAUCUCCAAUGCCACCAGAUCAAUGGAACUGGCAAGUAGAAAUGUCCCCGAGAUGUAGAUCCAUGUCCUGCCUUUCUAGAGCAGACAGCCAGGAGCUAGAGCACUUGUUUCCUAGGCUUAGCAUAUUUUCUCCUCCAGGUAGGCCUCUUCUUUCCCUUAAAGGGCUUUGAUGUGCUUCUGAUAAGCCAUUGCCUCAGGCUGCUUACUCACCCUGGGUCCCAUUCCCAGUGUCUGGCUCAUUAGAGAUCUUUAUGGCCUUGGGCUCUAAAGAGCAGAGGGCAGAAUGGAAGAGCUCACUGGGUGGAUCAGUUGCAUCCAAGAACAGGAAAGCUGCUCCUGGGGAAGCCUGAAGGGCUUAGCUGUCUGCCCCAUGCUAUCCUGUGUACACAGGGCCCAGGGUGGACGGCUUUAUCCAGUCAUUGCACACCUCUGAAGAUUCACUUCCUGCUUCGUAAUUUCUUAUUUAAUUGUGUUAUGCAUUGGUAUUAAUAUAUUCCCAUCAGUUGUAUUUCCAUUUAAAAUAUCAUGUAUUUAUCCAGACCGAGUGGCACACACCUUUAACCCAGCACUCGGGAGGCAGAGGCAGGCAGAACUCUGUGAGGUUGAAGACAGCCUUGUCUAUAAAGAUAAUCCAGGUCAGCCAGGGUGACACAGAGCAAUCCUACCCCAGAAACUUAAAGUCAAAUGAGAAACAAACAAAUCAUUUGUUUAUUUUAAGAGGGAGGCAUGGAAGUUCUGUAAACAACACAGGGGUUCCUGUAAUUUCUCUUUCACAUCUCAGUCCUCAUGCUCUGACAAUAUCACUAUUUCUAAGUUAAACAAAAGUCCGGGUCGUGGGCUACUGAUAGUGAGAACAGAGGAAUCUAACGGGAGAAACUAAUGCUUCCAACACAGACCCUCAGUGGAAAACUGCUUAUGUGCAGGCAAAGAGGUGUUUGGAAGAGGGGCGGGGAAGGCCUCAGUAGCUUGGCUUCUCUCAUCACUGGAUCCUGAAUCAGACUAUGUCUAACUCCCCAUCCCUCAGGACCUGCAUACUUGUGUCUGGUUUUGAGGUUGUCUUAACCCUCGGCCCAGGUUCCUCUGAAUUCACCACUCUCUUACCCCAUCCUCCUGAAUUAUAUGAGUGUUCACCAUACCCAAGGCUCACUCUGGUGUUUUGUUUUGUGAGACGGUGUCUCACUAUGCAGCCCAGGCUGGCCUUGAACUUAACAACAGCUCGGCCUCCAGCUUUACUGAGUACUUAAGAUUCUUCAUUUGUUUAUAUGUGUAUGUGUGUGCAUAUGCUAUGUCCAUGUAGGUGCCCUUGGAGGUGUGAAGAGUGCGUGGGAUCCUCUGGAGCUGAAGUCAGAGGUCAUAAGCUCUUCAUUGUGGGUGCAUGGACCUUGGCACAGCAAGGGGACUUGAGCACUGAGCAUUGCUCUAGCCCUAACACAAGCUCUGAUACACAGUGACCCAAGCAAGUGUCCCUAAGGCUGCAUUUGGUGAAGGAAGGGCUCCCAGGAGAAGCAGUGAGGGAUGAGAAGCCAAAGUCCAGCUUGGGUGUGAGUUUAGAAGUUCUGGAUUCUCAGAGGUCCUGCUAAGGGUCUUGAGGUUAGAAGACGGGCUGUGAGAAAAUAAAACAUGCAGCUAAGAAGUCAGAAGUUUCAAAAAGCCCUAAAUACCCCAAAUUCCAGACCCUGCCCUCUACCUGUAAGUAAAAGGUCACAUUUCUUGACCUGCUCCCCCAGGAUCCAGAUAAAAGGGUUUAAGAUAAGGUCCUUAGAUAGUUGAUCCCGACCUAGUAAAGAAAGCUUCUCCUAAGAACUAGCGGACCAUAAAGUUAAGCAAUCUUGAGAGACGGGAAGCUUCUUGUGAUUUUCCAAUGAUACCACCCCUGCCCCCUUGGGUUGUGGUUUCUCCCUUUAAAUACCCUUUCUCCUAGCCUCUCGGGGUCGACACUUCUAUCUCCUGCGUGGGAUAAGUGUUGGCCCGGAGAUCUCCAUAAUAGGUCUCAGUAAUAAACCUCGCCUUUGCAUAUUACCUCCAAAAUGGUCUCUCUGUGUCUGGGGUCCGAGAUUUCCCGAGACUUGAGUAAGGGUCUCCCUUUGGGGAUCUUUCAUUUGGGGGCUCGUCUGGGAUAUUCGCGCCCACCCCAGACCCUGAAGACCCCUUGGAGGUGAGUUGGAUGUUUGUCUGAGUGUUUCUUUGUGAGUGGUGCCGCACUUGUCAGUCUGUGUCUGCUUGUCCACUGUCUAUCUGUUUCCAGUUGUCUCCGGGUGGGAAUGAUUUGGGGCAGCUGUCUCAGAGGUCUGUGAGGACCCCAAGACUGCAGGGAACAGACUUGUCUGGAACUGCAGGCUGCAACCCUGGGGGAUGCCUCGAGUAGUGGAGGGGCCCAGAAUGAACUGGUUGCCUCCUAUCUCCUCACUGUGAAGUGAGGAGAUUAGAGACCUUGCCGGGUGAUCUGGUUUUGGUUUCUUGUGGAACAGUCGCAGAGGACGACUAGUUUUAGACAUCCUUGUCUCUCUUGUCAUUUUGUUAGUCUUCUGUGUUGGGCGUUUGUCAUACUUUUUAGACAGAAGGAAGAGUGAUGUGGAAUCUGCUCUCCCUCAUCUGUCUUUGGUGUCCCCUUGGUAAGGAGGAGUGAAGUGAAUCCGCUCCCCUUCACCUGUCUGUGGUUGAGAAGUAAGAGUGAUAUGGAAUCUGCUCUCCUUCAUCUGUUGUUGGUGAGCUCAGGGAAGCCCUUGUCUAAAUCAGUUCAGUUUGGUGGUGAUCUCACAGCGGCCGUUUGUUUUGUUUU
Rattus norvegicus (Norway rat) is the source of this 8907-nucleotide non-coding RNA. NCBI's taxonomy places the organism in Eukaryota, Metazoa, Chordata, Mammalia, Rodentia, Muridae. The record is from RefSeq and is a predicted model, not a curated record.